CCGACACAGGUGGUUGGGUAGAGAAUACCAAGGCGCUUGAGAGAACUCGGGUGAAGGAACUAGGCAAAAUGGCACCGUAACUUCGGGAGAAGGUGCGCCGGUGAGGGUGAAGCAUUUACUGCGUAAGCCGACGCCGGUCGAAGAUACCAGGCCGCUGCGACUGUUUAUUAAAAACACAGCACUCUGCAAACACGAAAGUGGACGUAUAGGGUGUGACGCCUGCCCGGUGCCGGAAGGUUAAUUGAUGGGGUUAGCGCAAGCAAAGCUCUUGAUCGAAGCCCCGGUAAACGGCGGCCGUAACUAUAACGGUCCUAAGGUAGCGAAAUUCCUUGUCGGGUAAGUUCCGACCUGCACGAAUGGCGUAACGAUGGCGGCGCUGUCUCCACCCGAGACUCAGUGAAAUUGAAAUCGCUGUGAAGAUGCAGUGUAUCCGCGGCUAGACGGAAAGACCCCGUGAACCUUUACUAUAGCUUUGCACUGGACUUUGAAUUUGCUUGUGUAGGAUAGGUGGGAGGCUUUGAAGCGUGGACGCCAGUCUGCGUGGAGCCAACCUUGAAAUACCACCCUGGCAACUUUGAGGUUCUAACUCAGGUCCGUUAUCCGGAUCGAGGACAGUGUAUGGUGGGUAGUUUGACUGGGGCGGUCUCCUCCUAAAGAGUAACGGAGGAGUACGAAGGUGCGCUCAGACCGGUCGGAAAUCGGUCGUAGAGUAUAAAGGCAAAAGCGCGCUUGACUGCGAGACAGACACGUCGAGCAGGUACGAAAGUAGGUCUUAGUGAUCCGGUGGUUCUGUAUGGAAGGGCCAUCGCUCAACGGAUAAAAGGUACUCCGGGGAUAACAGGCUGAUACCGCCCAAGAGUUCAUAUCGACGGCGGUAUCGCUCAACGGAUAAAAGGUACUCCGGGGAUAACAGGCUGAUACCGCCCAAGAGUUCAUAUCGACGGCGGUGUUUGGCACCUCGAUGUCGGCUCAUCACAUCCUGGGGCUGAAGCCGGUCCCAAGGGUAUGGCUGUUCGCCAUUUAAAGUGGUACGCGAGCUGGGUUUAGAACGUCGUGAGACAGUUCGGUCCCUAUCUGCCGUGGACGUUUGAGAUUUGAGAGGGGCUGCUCCUAGUACGAGAGGACCGGAGUGGACGAACCUCUGGUGUUCCGGUUGUCACGCCAGUGGCAUUGCCGGGUAGCUAUGUUCGGAAAAGAUAACCGCUGAAAGCAUCUAAGCGGGAAACUUGCCUCAAGAUGAGAUCUCACUGGAACCUUGAGUUCCCUGAAGGGCCGUCGAAGACUACGACGUUGAUAGGUUGGGUGUGUAAGCGCUGUGAGGCGUUGAGCUAACCAAUACUAAUUGCCCGUGAGGCUUGACCAUAUAACACCCA
This 1373-nucleotide ribosomal RNA is filed under the name Pseudomonas syringae pv. actinidiae ICMP 19103. RNAcentral describes it as "bacterial LSU rRNA". It matches the Rfam family "Bacterial large subunit ribosomal RNA", at positions 1654 to 2925 of the family's 2925-position model. The record is from RNAcentral. Lineage: Bacteria; Pseudomonadati; Pseudomonadota; Gammaproteobacteria; Pseudomonadales; Pseudomonadaceae.